RNAcentral lists this ribosomal RNA (345 nucleotides) under Philotrypesis sp. Ph2. Its description in RNAcentral is "eukaryotic LSU rRNA". The record is from RNAcentral. Lineage: Eukaryota; Metazoa; Arthropoda; Insecta; Hymenoptera; Pteromalidae.
GGGUCGUUUAACAAAAAAAACCAGACUGCUUGUCUUAAAACGCAAGCGAUAGCCUGAGCGUUCGUCGCUUAUAGCGGCGUCGCUCGAAAUGAUACAUGGUUUAUUUUCGAAAGCAGCGGCGUGCUGAUAUAUCGUACAGAGAGAGACGUACGAGUAACACCCGUCGAGUCCCGGAGCUCUUGCGCGUUUGCAUUUACUGCGAUCGCGCCGGGCGGACCGACGCUUGGUUCGUUACUCUGGUUCUCGAAGACGAUUCCACGUUCCGUAUCUGAAUGACCAUGCAAACAAACAAUAAUGUUUUUAAUCGACGACCUCAGAGCAGGCGAGACUACCCGCUGAAUUUAA